This 208-nucleotide ribosomal RNA is filed under the name uncultured bacterium. RNAcentral describes it as "partial 16S ribosomal RNA". It matches the Rfam family "Bacterial small subunit ribosomal RNA", at positions 328 to 541 of the family's 1533-position model. The record is from RNAcentral.
ACGCUCGACACCUACGGGAAGGCAGCAGUCGGGAAUAUUGCGCAAUGGAGGAAACUCUGACGCAGUGACGCCGCGUGCAGGAAGAAGGUUUUCGGAUUGUAAACUGCUUUAGACAGGGAAGAAAGAAAUGACAGUACCUGUAGAAUAAGCUCCGGCUAACUACGUGCCANAGACCGCCGGUAAGUACUGAGCGGGCGUGCGAAGGACG